GCUGGGUGCAAUAGCAACUUUCUGUAGUCUCAGCUACUCAGGAAGCUGAGAAGGAAGGACUACUUGAGCCAAGGGGUUCUGGACUGCAGUUUGUUGAUUGAUUGUCCUAAGUUCAGCAUCAAUAUGGUGAUAACCUAGGGAUGGGGGAAAAUCAAGUUUCUUAAGGAGGAGUGCUCUGGCCAAAGUUGGACAUUGAGCAGGUCAAGGUUCCUAUGAUGAUCAGUAGUGUGAUCAUGAUUGUGAAUAACCACUGUGCUCCAACCUGGGCAACAUAAUUAUCCCAUCUCUC
Molecule: signal recognition particle RNA, 289 nt
Filed under: Otolemur garnettii (small-eared galago)
Lineage: Eukaryota; Metazoa; Chordata; Mammalia; Primates; Galagidae
Description: Metazoan signal recognition particle RNA
Rfam family: Metazoan signal recognition particle RNA
About the family: The signal recognition particle (SRP) is a universally conserved ribonucleoprotein. It is involved in the co-translational targeting of proteins to membranes.
Source: Rfam by way of RNAcentral